UGGGGAAUAUUGGGCAAUGGGGGGAACCCUGACCCAGCAACGCCGCGUGAAGGAAGAAGGUUUUCGGAUUGUAAACUUCUGUCCUUGGUGAAGAGGAAGAGACGGUAGCCAAGGAGGAAGCCCCGGCUAACUACGUGCCAGCAGCCGCGGUAAUACGUAGGGCGCGAGCGUUGUCCGGAUUUAUUGGGCGUAAAGAGCUCGUAGGCGGUUUGUCGCGUCUGCUGUGAAAUCCUCUGGCUUAACUGGGGGCGUGCAGUGGGUACGGGCAGACUGGAGUGCGGUAGGGGAGACUGGAAUUCCUGGUGUAGCGGUGGAAUGCGCAGAUAUCGGGAGGAACACCGGUGGCGAAGGCGGGUCUCUGGGCCGUUACUGACGCUGAGGAGCGAAAGCAUGGGGAGCGAACAGG
Molecule: ribosomal RNA, 406 nt
Filed under: uncultured prokaryote
Description: bacterial SSU rRNA
Rfam family: Bacterial small subunit ribosomal RNA
Source: RNAcentral